This 468-nucleotide ribosomal RNA is filed under the name uncultured bacterium. RNAcentral's name for it is "partial 16S ribosomal RNA". It matches the Rfam family "Bacterial small subunit ribosomal RNA", at positions 28 to 507 of the family's 1533-position model. The record is from RNAcentral.
GACGAACGCUGGCGGCGUGCUUAACACAUGCAAGUCGAACGGAAAGGCCCUGCUUUUGUGGGGUGCUCGAGUGGCGAACGGGUGAGUAACACGUGAGUAACCUGCCCUUGACUUUGGGAUAACUUCAGGAAACUGGGGCUAAUACCGGAUAGGAGCUCCUGCUGCAUGGUGGGGGUUGGAAAGUUUCGGCGGUUGGGGAUGGACUCGCGGCUUAUCAGCUUGUUGGUGGGGUAGUGGCUUACCAAGGCUUUGACGGGUAGCCGGCCUGAGAGGGUGACCGGCCACAGUGGGACUGAGAUACGGCCCAGACGCCUACGGGAGGCAGCAGUGGGGAAUAUUGCACAAUGGGCGGAAGCCUGAUGCAGCAACGCCGCGUGAGGGAUGACGGCCUUCGGGUUGUAAACCGCUUUCGCCUGUGACGAAGCGUGAGUGACGGUAAUGGGUAAAGAAGCACCGGCUAACUACGUG